GACGAACUUUGGCGGCGUGCUUAACACAUGCAAGUCGAACGGAAAGGCCCUGCUUUUGUGGGGCGCUCGAGUGGCGAACGGGUGAGUAACACGUGAGUAACCUGCCCUUGACUUUGGGAUAACUUCAGGAAACUGGGGCUAAUACCGGAUAGGAGCUCCUGCUGCAUGGUGGGGGUUGGAAAGUUUCGGCGGUUGGGGAUGGACUCGCGGCUUAUCAGCUUGUUGGUGGGGUAGUGGCUUACCAAGGCUUUGACGGGUAGCCGGCCUGAGAGGGUGACCGGCCACAUUGGGACUGAGAUACGGCCCAGACUCCUACGGGAGGCAGCAGUGGGGAAUAUUGCACAAUGGGCGGAAGCCUGAUGCAGCAACGCCGCGUGCGGGAUGACGGCCUUCGGGUUGUAAACCGCUUUCGCCUGUGACGAAGCGUGAGUGACGGUAAUGGGUAAAGAAGCACCGGCUAACUACGUGCCAGCAGCCGCGGUGAUACGUAGGGUGCGAGCGUUGUCCGGAUUUAUUGGGCGUAAAGGGCUCGUAGGUGGUUGAUCGCGUCGGAAGUGUAAUCUUGGGGCUUAACCCUGAGCGUGCUUUCGAUACAGGUUGACUUGAGGAAGGUAGGGGAGAAUGGAAUUCCUGGUGGAGCGGUGGAAUGCGCAGAUAUCAGGAGGAACACCAGUGGCGAAGGCGGUUCUCUGGGCCUUUCCUGACGCUGAGGAGCGAAAGCGUGGGGAGCGAACAGGCUUAGAUACCCUGGUAGUCCACGCUGUAAACGGUGGGUACUAGGUGUGGGGUCCAUUCCACGGGUUCCGUGCCGUAGCUAACGCUUUAAGUACCCCGCCUGGGGAGUACGGCCGCAAGGCUAAAACUCAAAGGAAUUGACGGGGCCCCGCACAAGCGGCGGAGCAUGCGGAUUAAUUCGAUGCAACGCGUAGAACCUUACCUGGGUUUGACAUGGAUCGGGAGUGCUCAGAGAUGGGUGUGCCUCUUUUGGGGUCGGUUCACAGGUGGUGCAUGGCUGUCGUCAGCUCGUGUCGUGAGAUGUUGGGUUAAGUCCCGCAACGAGCGCAACCCUUGUUCACUGUUGCCAGCACGUUAUGGUGGGGACUCAGUGGAGACCGCCGGGGUCAACUCGGAGGAAGAUGGGGAUGACGUCAAGUCAUCAUGCCCCUUAUGUCCAGGGCUUCACGCAUGCUACAAUGGCUGGUACAGAGAGUGGCGAGCCUGUGAGGGUGAGCGAAUCUCGGAAAGCCGGUCUCAGUUCGGAUUGGGGUCUGCAACUCGACCUCAUGAAGUCGGAGUCGCUAGUAAUCGCAGAUCAGCAACGCUGCGAUGAAUACGUUCCCGGGGCU
RNAcentral lists this ribosomal RNA (1346 nucleotides) under uncultured bacterium. RNAcentral describes it as "partial 16S ribosomal RNA". It matches the Rfam family "Bacterial small subunit ribosomal RNA", at positions 28 to 1381 of the family's 1533-position model. The record is from RNAcentral.